AUAUUACAGCAUAUUUCAAAACAUUUAUCAGUAAAAACGGUGUGUAUUGAAGAGCUCCUUAUUAUUGCAUUGACAGAUACUUUAUACAUGCAAUCAUGUAAACACACAUAAACACAUUUGUACUGCCAUAAAUGUUGAAUUCUAUGAUGGCUACUGCCUCCCUCACAAUGAUCAGUGUAGAACAUUUCUUCCUUUGCCUGACAGCAAAAAUGGAUCUCAUCCAAAAAUAUGGUAUCUCCCACCAUGCUGAGCAGUAAAAAGGGAGAGUUUGCAAAGUUCAAACAAUGUGCUUCGGGUGAGAGCACAGCAGUUAAAGAGGCAAAAGUGUGAUGGAUUUUGUACAUUAAAAAAAUCCAUUAUAUUUCUCCGGAGGACAGGCAGAAUUUGGUCUGACUUUUUUAGGCAUUAGAGCCAGUGUGCGAAAUACCCAGUGGCAAUCGGGGGUCCCCCCUACCUAGUGCUCCAAUGUUAUGCCAAAGUCUCACAGACUCAAUAGAAAAUAUACAAGAUUUCGUGGAUGCAAGCCAAAGCAAUCAACUAGGUUAUACACACUUUGCCAACACUACAAACAUUACCAAGGCUAAUAUCGUUAACACUAAGGCCACUCACACAACUAUACAACUACACAACCACGUAAUAACUAUGCCCUUCAACAGAAUCCACAGAGCACACUCGUCUAUCUCUCUCUAACCCAACACACACACACAAACCCAGCACAUGCAUUUUUGUGUGUCGCUGUACAACUUUUGACCUUAUGCACAGCAGGUCCAUCACAAUUCAGUCACAGCAAACAUAGGCUAGAGAUCAAAAAACAUUCCUGGUAACCAAGAAGAGGAGAGACGAUGUCCUGCUUAAAUCCAGGUUCUCACGAAUGGCACUGGAUCAAAUUUAUCCAAAGAGGGUCCGUUUAGGUCCACAAACAAAAGUGAAAACAGGCUCUCUUCAUGCAACCUGUUGCAACUCUGGCUUGCUGUGUCAUUUACAGUGGAAAAUCCUCUCUCGCGCCCAGCAGACGUGGGGAGGACCACCUGGUGCUGCUGCUGGUUGCCAGAUUUCGGAUUAUCCUGCAUAACAAUGGGCCAAAGGACUGUUUGGACCGGUUCCACUCCUGAGAUGCCAGGGACUGCUCUGCCUCUUGCCCUUCAGAGACAGUGGCUCUCCUCCCCAUCGUGCACACAUGGAUGCAUGGUCACUCUGGGAUGAUGCUCCCCCUCACACAAAUUCGAACUGUUAAUUAACGUGUCCUUGUGUUUAUGGCCAUCCAGCAGCCCACAAGGGAGUCAGCGAGAUCUGUGGUUGUGUAAACACACAAAUAUUCACACACGUUGGUGUGCUCAUACAAAGCAGUUUAUACACACUUAACAGGCGUACAGUGGAUAAAACAGAUUAAUUUCAGUGAUAGUAAAAAGAAAAAAGCUAAUAAUAAAAAAGUCAAACAAAGAACAUGUCUGAGGGGAAUAAAAGUCUAAUUUCACAAUAGUGUGGGAUGAAAAAGUACAUUCAGAUAUGUGUGUGUUGCUGUGCACAUACAGGUGUGUUAUUGUGUAAAAUGAAAAAGAAGUUGGCAUAGUGCUCUUUUUCCUCACUGUUUACUAUAACAGGAGAUACACCAUGUGUCUGCAUAACCUCUCUCUUUGCAUACACUGUGACAUUUCUACAGCCUGUAGUGACACUGGUAUAUAUGGCCUUCAGGCAUCCAGACAGAAUCUUAUGAUAGUCUAAAACAACAUUUCUGAAGUGCAGGGAUCACACUGCAACUGUCAGAGUCAUGACCCAACUGGAAUAGACUGAAACCCGUGAAAUAGAACCAGCCUCUCUCCGUCUGAAACAAGAACCAAAUCUGUCACUCAAACGGCAAACAGAGACCACAGAGAGGUAAGGAGAGAGAGGGGGAAAGAGAGUGACACCAGGAUAGUGGAAAAAAAAAAAGGGUGAGAGAUGGGGAGCAACGCAGAGAGAAGACACAGAGACAGUAAACGAAUGUGAAUUUUAGAGAGGACAGUAAUACAAAAUGAGCAAGUGGCUUUGACAUCCACUGCAAGUAUGCAAAGUAGUAUUUUACAGAAGUUGUUUUGUUGAUGCUCCAUCACUGAGUUACACUGUGUUGCGUGUUUCUUUUGCAUGGAGAAACAAGGCAGCUCCACAUGGUGCAUAACUGAAAAGGCGUUUUACAUGCAGCUCUCACAGACAGAGGUAUCCUGUGUGAGCAUUAUGAAAAGCAAAAUGAGUCACUCUUCCAUAAAAUAGCCAUUUGAAAUUAUAAAUGUUUAGUUGUUUCUGUGUUAGUGGAUUGGACUGGAGUUGGUGCUGCUAGUAUUGAAAUUCAGUCCUUCCCCUUGUAAUUGUAGUAUCAAGAGGGAGCAGCUUGUGGCCAGAUGUCAUGGGCAGACACUAUUUCCCAUUUGUUAUUCACACAUGGAAUAGAAACGGCUGGAAUUAGAGGUUAAUUAUGAUAGAGAAAGUAAGGGAGGGGAAAGAGAGAAAUAGACGAAUUGGGAAGUGUCGCGGGGAAAGUUAAUUUUCAUUGCUGUUCUUACGGUGUUGUGCUGCAGCUGGUGAUGAAUGACAGAGAGCUCUCAGCUGGAGGAGGAUGGCUAAUGGAAUUGUACUGCAUCAGCCCCGAGAUUCACAAGGAGAACACACUAGGUUACUAUUAUUCUUUCUAAAUGCCAUGCCUUGUUAGGGACAUCCUGCUUCACGCGGAGUGUGCUGGAAAAACCCUUCCAAAAAGAUCUGGAUUUUAUACUGUCUGAGUUUACUCAUUUUGUUUUGAUUCGUUGUGAAAUUAGCUUAAAAGAAGACAGAGUAUCUGGCUCGCAUUGUGAUUCUGCUUCAUUUCCAGACAAAAAAUGUUGUUUUAACAGGCCAAUGAGUUUUCAUUUGGAUGGUGUAAGUCAUCUACUGCAGAUGUGUUUCACUCUGCUCUGUGAUAAUGACAAAUAUUGCACUACAUAGUGGGCAGGUGGAAGGAGGACCUGAAAAGUAUGCUGUGUGUUGAUUCAGUUUGAGGUGUAAUUCUACAUUGAUGAUGUUCAGCAGAGCAUGAGACCAGCCAAGAUGAGUGAGCCUUCAUAUAUCGCUUUCUCCUGGCUGCCUGUACUUGUAUCCUUCAAGUGUACGCUCUGCCCAAGUGAAACCCUUCAAACGACCACAGCCCCUCCCUCAGCAUGGUUUACGGUCUUAUUAAUACACCGUUGUAUUUACUGUAUUCACUGCUUGAGUGUUAAAUCAAAGCAAACAGGCAGAGUGGAUGAAGUCAUCAGAUAUAGUAGCAUUGAUUAUGCCCAUUAGAUUUCUUCCUUCCUCCCUCGCCCCCUGCUUUCCUCGUACGUCCUAGUGCUUCUUCAGUUGAAUGAGUUGUGGCCAGUGGCCGAGCAAUGAUAGACAGAUCAUUACUCUGCACUGGGUAUGCCAAAUGAGCUGCCUUUUUACAGGCGAGGGCAGAGAAAGCGGAGAAGGAGACAAAUAGAAGGAGAGAGAGCAGAAAGACAAAGAAAUUUAUCAUAAAUGUCAAAUGAAGCUAGCCUCUAAGUGUUUCACAGGCUGUCUCGGUAUUUCCCAUCCCCCACACACUGCACUAUAUUCUUUAUUCUCCAGUCUGCACCUCUAACCUCUUUAGAGGAUAUUAUGGUCCCUUGCCAUCAGGAAAGACCAUUACUGCAUCGACAAAGCUUUAUCCAUGGAGGUAUAGCUUUACUUUUCACUCUGUCUGCGUGUGCCCAUGAUAAUGUAACCAGAACCUUUGCAAUUGUGAAGGGUAAUGCCUGUAACAGCAUCAGUUCUUGUUUGCCGUAAAGGAAGCUCAAGACAGUUAGAUAGUAUCAGUGUCAAGAUAAAAUGUUCAUCUAUCAUGGUAGAGUAAUUGUUGUUUUACUUGUAGGCCUUUCAAUCCAGCCCUAUCGUCAGAUAGAACAUUGAUAUUGGACCAUUCUGCAAAACGCCAGAUUUUUUUUAUGGUAGUUUCUUUCUACUGCAUUAAUGCACGGCAACUACAGUAAAGUAUGGUUUAUGGUUAAUAUAUAGUUUAAGUAUAGUUAUUGUAUGGUUAAGCUAAAACACGUUGUUUAGGGAAGAAUCGUGUUUAUUGUAAAAGAAAAAAAGCCGACAUUAAUUGUUAGCACAUAAUGUUGACAUUGGAUGUAAAUGGUGCAGUUGUCCAAUGUGAAAAUAAUCAAUACUGUGCUGUUUUAAUCAGUAAUAUGAAUGCAGUGAUAGGGUUAGGAAAUGUCUGCACACUCAACAACUCAACAAAUAUUUUAUUCAUGUUUCGACCGACAAAAUCUUCAUCAGGCAAUCAAAUGUUUGGGAGCUUGCAAAUUUCAGUGUGUGGACAACAUCUACAUUUCCAAAAAAAAGGUAUUAUUUCACUUACUUAUUUUCUUUGCAUCUGCAUGGGUUUACAAGAAAGACAGCAAGUGUUGGUGUCUGCUGGUUAGUUGGCUGUUUGAAGUCAUACAGAUCGCACACAAUUGUGAACUAUAUUGAUAUUGUUCUUUCAUUCUCUUUCUUUCAUUUUCUUCCACUCUCUCGCUCUACAUGAAGCCAGAUUGCCCUUCAGUUGGGGUAAUGAAGCCACUCUAUCAAAGACCUGUACCUCCACCCGCUUGCCGCCCACCUCCCAGUGCCUCCUUGAUAGGACAAUAGAACACUGUUGUGGUCGAGCUACACUGCACAGCUUAAGGACAACAUUCAAUCUUUCUGUAUCCUUCAUCUUGAACUUGUUGUUUACAGUUGCUCAUAAACAGCACUGCAAAAAAUACACUCAUUACCUGUCACUGUGGACUUACACUGAUACUCUGCCACUUUAUAUUCUAUUGUCUUCACUCAUGUUGUAUUGUUCUCCACAGAAUGACCUUGAGAUCCUUCAGCCUUACUGCUCAGUCACAAUGAGGGAUCCUCUGAGGACCCCUCCUCUCUAUCACUUACUGUACCACACUAAGAACCAUAUGGACCUAGCUCCAUGGAGCAGCACUCCAACACUGAGGAGCUUUAUAGGCAUAAACGACAGCAAGACAAAUUCCUUUUCGGGGACGGAUAAAAUCUCUCUAGUCAUCCAUUUACUAUAUAGCCAAAACUACUUUUGCUCCAACUGUCUCCCUGUCCCUCCAAAUGUCUGUUUUUCUUCUCCAGAAGUGUGCUGAGUGGGGUCGUGGCAUUGGCAGUGGCAGCAUCUGCCAGCGAGGAGAGGGCCAAGGAGAGAGAGUGCCUCCUGUUUGUCUCUAAGCCCCCAACCAUAUUCUUCCUGCUAAUUAACCUGCUGACGCCUCCUUACUGUGUACAUUUUGGGGGGAGGUGGAAGGAGAGUGUGCAGCAGGUGGGGAAGAAAGGACAGCUGAGAACAUGUGAUUUGAGCUCUGAAGAUUGAGGAUUAGCUGUGCUUUCUAAUUUUCUGACCAAAUGUAUGCACACACACCUAUUUGUUUGGCUGUGCAGGGUAUCUUUUUUUUUUUUUUUACCAUUUAACAUUUUCACACAUUUGUAGCCCGUCUGUGCUGUCUGUCAGAUUACAUUUUACAACAGGUGGCUUUUCUCUCAGUCCAGCACCAACAAAGGGAACAUAGGAGAGCUUGAGAAACUAUCACAGCGAGCAAAGUGAUUCAGCUAAUUUUCAAACCUUCAGCUAAAACCAUGAGUACUUGAUCCAAUCACAUGUGACCAAGCAAGAUGGAGGUAACAUGGCAAUGGUGGUGCAGCAAGGGAGGGAGGUGCAAACCUUCCUGCUGAAACACACCGUGAGGUUAGAGAUGCAGAUGGCAAAACUGGCUGUGACUCCUCUGGCUUAAGGUUGCGAGGCUUGAAGCCAAAGAGGAGAAAAUGUACCACAGUCAAAGUGCUACCCUGUUUAGCAUUGGAGUUCAAUUUACUAUAAUAUUUUGCCAAAGGCCCAUUAGCAUCUAUUUUGACUUUUCCACUUUGUGGUUAGAGCAAGCACUUUUGUUUCUCCUUAUUAAAAUGAGUUCCUGAAGGUAAUUGCAUCCGUGUUGCAUUCAGCGUGUUGUUCAUUAGGAGAAGGAGUUAUAAAUGGGAGCUCUCACAGCGUAUGUUCACGUCAGGCUCUGUUGCUCCCUCUGCCACCAUGGGCGACACGCACAUCGCUCACUCCCUCGCAGGAACAGGCGAAUAUAUGGCUGCACCCUGCCAGCGGGAACGAAAAUGGGAAGGAGGGGGAUGGAGGGCAGAAUGAGGAAACUGAGGCAGGGAAGGCCACACAAAGACAAAAAAAUAAAGAAAUAAACAGGAUCAGAGAUGAUGUUUUAGAAGAUGAAACAAAGCAAAAAGAAAGUUUAUUUUGACUGGAGACAGGGAAAGAUGAAGAGGUGGAAUGAGGAGAAGAGGGAGGAGGUAUAUCAGAGCAGGCAGACGGGCAGGAGAAGUUUCCAGCCCUCCACCCAUCAGAGAGUUCGGCUGUUCAGAUGUUUGGUUGGCGGUAAAGUCAGACAGACAGAUUGCAGCCAAUGAUAUGUGUUGGGAAUCAUCUCAGAGAUGGGCUAAUGACAGGAGGGGAGAAGCAGGCAGAUGGCUCCCGUCAGGGAAAUAUGCGUGCAGUAUCGUCCCAGUGGUCUGGACCGAGUCUGCGUGAACAUUUGGGAUUGAAGGUAAUAAGUAAUGGUUAGUAUAUAGAGAGAAACUGAUCAGGGAAGGUGGGGACAGACUGUCCUCUGCUAGACCUCCUGCUUCAAAGGAAGAAAGGGGAAUCUGUGAGUGUAUAAUGUUAAUUGUUGUUUGUAUGUGUGCAUAUUAGUGAGACACAGAUAUGGGAUAUACCGUACUUGGAAAAUGUAAUUAAUUACACAUUACUCAUUGAAGCUAAUCCCAUUACUUUACUAAUUACUGAUCAUUAAACUUUACUUCCUCCUACUCAACCCAGUUCUGUCAAAUCAAGUCAUCACAGAAAUCCAACGCCCACAGUGAGAUUGCAGCUUCAAUAACAUACCCAGGUGAUUCCCCGAUGUACCAGUGGCACCUCCCAAAAUGUUGGAGAAUCAAAAUAUUACUGGAAUAAGCAGCUGUAAUGUAAAGGUUGAAAUUUUAAUUGUAAUCACAUUACGACCAACACCGGUAUGCAGAGGGUUCUCUCUCUCUUGCUCUCUCCCCAGUCCAUAAUGUUUGUCCUCUUUGCAUUGCUAUGGGUAUGCAUCAGAGUUGUGUGUGCUUGUCAGAAGUUUUGUCAUAAAUCCACAUUUUUAUCCAGUUUUUAAGUCACAUUUUAUGCUACACUUUUUGAUCCAAGUUGUUUUAGCUAUAUGUUUUAUUAAGGCAUAAGAUUUUACUCAUUGGAGACUUGGAUUUUAAGCUAUAUGUUUCCUGGUUGAGACAGCCUGCCAAGGCUAGUACACCCCGGCUUGUUUUUAGCAUGGGCGCUAACAUGAGACAACAGGGACUGCAGAUACCAAGUGUCAAGACCCUACCAACUGCCAACUGAAGCCUAAUUUCCACAGUGGAUCCACCUGUUGGGCCCGUAUUGCUGUGUCAGCUGUGCCCAUCUUGCUGAUAAGAUUGCAGAGUUGGAAGGAAGAAUCUCCACACUGUACCAGAUCCAGGCAGCUUUGAAGUUCAUGGACACCAUCAUUUUCAGUCCAGCAAAAACUGACACAACCUGUGCCCGAGAGCCUGUUACCACUGCUCCCUGUCCCACCGCUGAUGCUGUCCCUCCUCCAGUCAUUGCCCCUGAUUAAUCCUGAGUCCGGCUAGACCUACAGCCCCGGUCACCUCUACUCCAUCCCACCACAAGGCCUGGUCCCCGGUUGGCUUAAGUUCUAAAGUUAUAAAUGUUAUUGAUACUAUUACUCCCAUGAAGAUCAAAGUUGUCUCUGGUAAGAAAAAAGUACCAUGGAGGAAUACAAAACUGGUAAAAGCUCAAAAAAGACAGCGUAGACAGGCAGAACGCAGGUGGCAAAAAUCCAAACUCCAGAUUCAUUAUAACAUCUAUAAAGAGACACUUCGCAACUAUAACCUGGAAAUAAAAAGUGCAAGGCAGUCCUUUUUCUCAGAGAUUAGUAUUAAAGAUAACAAUAAUACACACACCUUAUUUACUGUUGUUGACAAACUGACCAACCCCUCAGCAUCAGUCCCUCCUGAACUGCUAUCCACCAACUCAUGCAAUGACUUUACAUCUUUUUCUACAAAAUUCUGAGGAUAAAGCAAACAGUCUGUAACUCCAUCUCGGGCAAAAUGGCUAUGUUGCCUGUACUCCAGCAUAAAACCACUCUACUUAAUUUGGCACAUUUAGCCCCCCUAGUUAUGUAACCCUGACAGAAAUUGUCCAACACUGACCUACUACCUGCUGACUUGACACUCUGCCUACAAGCUUUUUAAAAAUGUUUUUAACUGCAUAGCACCAGAGAUACCACAAAUAGUCGAUAGCUCUCUUCACUCAGGCGUGCUGUCAAGUGCCCUGAUGACUGCAGUUAUUAAACCACCUUUAAAAAAACCUAAUCUGGUUACCUCAUUGAUAAAUAACUACAGGCCCAUAUCAAAGCUACCUUUUUUGGGAAAGAUCAUUGAGAAGGUUGUUUUCAGCAACUCAACACUUUCUUGGUGCAAAAUAAUUUCUUCAUUGUUUUUCAGUCUGGAUUUAAACCACACCACAGCACCGAGACUGCACUUGUGAAAGUCCUAAAUGAAAUUCAUCUGAGCAGUGAUGCAUGAAAAAUUUCAGUUUUAGUGUUACUUGAUCUCAAUGCAGCAUUCAACACAGUUGACCAUAAGAUGCUGCUCGACAGACUGGAGAUGUGGAUGGGAUGGGCACUGGGCUAAAUUGGUUCAAAUGAAAUUUACAAGAUAGGGACCACUUUGUAAUCGAUUGUCAAUUAUGAAUCUGAGCGAACAACAAUCACAUGCAAAGUUCCUAAAGAGUCCAUUCUUUUUUAUUCAAUAUCUACACGCUCCCCCAUGCUCAGAUUAUAAAUCAUUAUAACAUCUUCUACUAUUCUUAUGCAGAUGAAACACAACUCUACAUAACAGCGUCACCUGCAGUCAUGUCCCUUACAUUUGCUGAAUAAGUGCAUUUAACAAGUCAAUGGGUGGAUGUGCCAGAAUUUUCUACAACCGAACUCAGAAAAAAACUGAAAUAAUUGUUUUUGGCUGCAAUCAAGACAGAUUAAAAGUCAGUGCUCACCUCAACUCCAUGAUAUUAAAAUCUACAAAUCAAGCUAGAAAUCUUGGUGUAGUUAUGGAUUCGGACCUAAAUUACAACAGCCAAAUCAGCCCACUACCACCUUAAAAAACAUAGCAAGAAUUAAAGGAUUUUUAUCUAAACAAGAUACAGAAAAACUAGUUCAUGCAUUUAUUUUCAGCAGGCUAGACUACUGUGACGAUGUCUUCACAGGUCCCAGCAAAAAAUCAGUCAGACAGCUGCAGCUCAUCCAGAAUGCUGCUGCCAGAGUACUUACUAACACCUAGAAAAUGGAGGACAUUACACCGGUCCUUAAAUCACUGCACUUACUACAAGUCUAUAAAGCACUAAAUGGUCUUUGGCCCAAAUACAUUUCUGAUUUGCUUGUACAUUAUGAAGCCCCCAGACCACUCUGGUCCUCUGUGACAGGUUUACUCAGUGCUCCCAGGAUCAAAACAAGUAAGGUGAGGCAGCUUUUAGUUUCUAUGCUCCCCACCUGUGGAACAAGCUUCCUGAAUACCUGAGGUCUGCUAAAACUGUCAGCUCAUUUAAAUCAGGGCUUAAAACAUUAUUGUUUGCCGCAGCUUUCCAAUAACUUAAAUGUGUAACUUCUUUUUAAUCUUUA
Molecule: long non-coding RNA, 9740 nt
Organism: Thunnus maccoyii (southern bluefin tuna)
Lineage: Eukaryota; Metazoa; Chordata; Actinopteri; Scombriformes; Scombridae
Exons: 3
Source: RefSeq, a predicted model, not a curated record